Molecule: long non-coding RNA, 248 nt
Filed under: Ananas comosus (pineapple)
Lineage: Eukaryota; Viridiplantae; Streptophyta; Magnoliopsida; Poales; Bromeliaceae
Description: long non-coding RNA (ACOM_LNC004438)
Source: RNAcentral
UUAUAUAUUCAGUCUAAAUUUGUUCUUAAUAUAUCUGGCAUGUAUCGACCGUCUCUAAAACAAGUGGCAAAGGGCUUGGUGAUUGGUACCCGAGACCCAAGUUCGAAUCCUAAUUGAUUCACAUAUUCAGCCAAGUUUAUUUCUAAAUGAAAUAAACGAAGCGGGUAGCGUGCUACUUAUCUCUCAAAAAAAUAAAUAAAUAAAUAAAUCUGGCAUGCUUCGAGUAAAAUUUGGUAUGUUAAUAUUAU